This is a long non-coding RNA of Homo sapiens (human), 1008 nucleotides long. Ensembl annotates it as long intergenic non-protein coding RNA 907. Lineage: Eukaryota; Metazoa; Chordata; Mammalia; Primates; Hominidae. The record is from Ensembl.
GUGUAGGGUAGGGGGACACGGAAAGAUGGGCCAAGACAUUUGGAGCUGAUAUUUGAUAUGGUUUGGCUGUGCCCCCACCCAAAUCUCAUCUUAAAUUGUAAUCCCCAUAAUCCCCACGUGUCGAGGGAGGGACCCGGUGGGAAGUGAUUGGAUCAUGGGGGCAGUUUUCCCCAUGGAAUUCUCGUGAUAGUGAGUGAGUUCUCACGAGAUCUCAUGGUUUUACAAGCGUCUGGUAUUUCACCUGAUUGCACUUCUCUCUUCUGCCUCCUAGUGAAAAAGGUGCCUGCUUCUCCUUCUGCCAUGAUUAUAAGUUUCCUGAGGCUUCCCCAGCCAUGCGUAACUGAGUGAGGACCUAGAAUUUUAAUGUCUAAUAUGCGGUGUGAAUUAAAGAAGCGGCCUUGCUAUGCUGACCUUUUCAAUAUUCUAAUCUUUGCUUUGCUGACCUCUCAGGCCUCUUCCUGGCAACAGUUAGGCUUUUGAGAGGAGAGAGAGCUGAGACUGUUGGCUCCUUCCCAUUUAUGAGAGAGCCACAUGACAUCAGCCCAUAGACUGUGGAGAGUAUUCCAGAUCUAUCACAUUCUGCGAUUCUGCGAUUCCCAGAAGGCUGGUCAUGAAAAAAUUCCCUCUUCAGUUUACAUAUAUGGCAGUGCUCCAGUGCCAUGACAGUUUUAAUCUUCUGGUUCCAUCUGCAUAGAUUUCAGUCUCUAAUUGAGGAAAAUCAUCUGUUUUUCUCAGGAGCCCCUUGAUUCAAGUUUACACAAAAUGUGCCUUUGGAGACUAUCCUGUUAAUUUAAACAGUUCAGAUCCCACUUGUAUGUGAGACAGAUGCUUCUCUGGCCAUCAGCCAGGUACCACUAAAGGAGGUACAGGCCUCUGGGCCAGUGAUGGGAGGGGCUGCCUUGAAGAUGUCUGAAAUGCCCUGGAGACAUCAUCCCCAUCAUCUUGGUGAUUAACAUUCAGCUCCUCUUUACUUAUGGAAAUGUAUUCAGCCACCUUGAGUUGCUCCCC